Long non-coding RNA from Ailuropoda melanoleuca (giant panda), 404 nucleotides. RefSeq lists it as uncharacterized. The record is from RefSeq and is a predicted model, not a curated record. The transcript has 2 exons. Lineage: Eukaryota; Metazoa; Chordata; Mammalia; Carnivora; Ursidae.
UGCAAAGCGUUCCUUAAGAAAUGCCAAGUCAGAGUUGAAAUGUCUUUGCAACGACUUCUAACGGCUGGACUUUUUGUCUUUUUGAAUGUUACACCCGCUUUACUCUGACCCUGGUGGAGAUUUGGGCUAAAUGGUUUGUCCUGACUUGCGAUCCCUCCUGUGGGACGCCUCCUUCUCUGGGGACUGGUCUUUGGCUCAUCUCCUUGGUGCUUCCCACUGGCUUGGCUCAUGGAGCAGCCCUAUUUGUGGGAAAGUAGCCCAGUUCCCAGCUUCACCAAACACCGGGACUACAUGAACGCCAGUCGGUGCCCUUCCUGCAGCCCGGAGGCCGCUUACGUUAGGGAUGCCUGCCUCCACCCUGGACGUCUGACGGGCCAAGGGCGAAGCUGUGCCCCCUAAACAAG